AAACCAACAGGGAUUGCCUCAGUAACGGCGAGUGAAGCGGCAAAAGCUCAAAUUUGAAAUCUAGCACCUUCGGUGUUCGAGUUGUAAUUUGAAGAUGGUAACCUUGGGUUUGGCUCUUGUCUAUGUUCCUUGGAACAGGACGUCAUAGAGGGUGAGAAUCCCGUCUGAUGAGAUGCCCAUUCCUAUGUAAGGUGCUAUCGAAGAGUCGAGUUGUUUGGGAAUGCAGCUCUAAGUGGGUGGUAAAUUCCAUCUAAAGCUAAAUAUUGGCGAGAGACCGAUAGCGAACAAGUACAGUGAUGGAAAGAUGAAAAGAACUUUGAAAAGAGAGUGAAAAAGUACGUGAAAUUGUUGAAAGGGAAGGGCAUUAGAUCAGACUUGGUGUUUUACGAUUAUCUUCUCUUCUUGAGUUGUGCACUCGUAUUUCACUGGGCCAGCAUCGAUUCGGAUGGCAAGAUAAUGGCAGUUGAAUGUGGCUUCACUUCGGUGGAGUGUUAUAGCUUCUGCUGAUAUUGCCUGUCUGGAUCGAGGGCUGCGUCUUUUGACUAGGAUGCUGGCGUAAUGAUCUAAUGCCGC
Molecule: ribosomal RNA, 573 nt
Filed under: Hansenula anomala
Lineage: Eukaryota; Fungi; Ascomycota; Saccharomycetes; Phaffomycetales; Wickerhamomycetaceae
Description: eukaryotic LSU rRNA
Rfam family: Eukaryotic large subunit ribosomal RNA
Source: RNAcentral